RNAcentral lists this microRNA precursor (249 nucleotides) under Picea abies (Norway spruce). RNAcentral's name for it is "miR1313d stem-loop (pab-MIR1313d)". The record is from miRBase by way of RNAcentral. Lineage: Eukaryota; Viridiplantae; Streptophyta; Pinopsida; Pinales; Pinaceae.
UCUUCCUGAUGGUAUUCUACCACUGAAAUUAUUGUUCGAAAUGACACCUGCAGCUCAUCGAGGUAUACCACGAGCUCAUCGAGGUAUACCGCCGUGGUAUGGUAUCCUUCAAUGCAUCGCCAAUCUAACCUAGUUGCAGGGCUGCAACACAUGGUAUGAUUUUGGAUCCAUUGAGGAAUAAUCACCAAGUUGCAUGGGUGGGUUUAUCCAACAAUAAUUUCAGUGGAAGACUACUGUCGAUCUGGAAGA